Molecule: non-coding RNA, 107 nt
Filed under: Kitasatospora sp. Root187
Lineage: Bacteria; Bacillati; Actinomycetota; Actinomycetes; Kitasatosporales; Streptomycetaceae
Also listed under: 1 other name
Description: Glycine riboswitch aptamer
Rfam family: Glycine riboswitch aptamer
About the family: This family represents the bacterial glycine riboswitch. Glycine riboswitches usually consist of two metabolite-binding aptamers domains with similar structures in tandem.
Source: Rfam by way of RNAcentral
CGACCCCGCUCGGGAGAGUCCCCGCACCGUUGCACGUGGUGUCACGGGGACGCCGAAGGAGCAAACCCUCCCCGGAAUCUCUCAGGCAUCCGUACCGUGCGGGGUAG